This 519-nucleotide ribosomal RNA is filed under the name uncultured bacterium. Its description in RNAcentral is "partial 16S ribosomal RNA". It matches the Rfam family "Bacterial small subunit ribosomal RNA", at positions 28 to 507 of the family's 1533-position model. The record is from RNAcentral.
GACGAACGCUGGCGGCGUGCCUAAUACAUGCAAGUCGAGCGAGUCUGCCUUGAAGAUCGGAGUGCUUGCACUCUGUGAAGCAAGAUACAGGCUAGCGGCGGACGGGUGAGUAACACGUGGGUAACCUGCCCAAGAGAUCGGGAUAACACCUGGAAACAGAUGCUAAUACCGGAUAACAACAGAUGAUGCCUAUCAACUGUUUAAAAGAUGGUUCUGCUAUCACUCUUGGAUGGACCUGCGGUGCAUUAGCUAGUUGGUAGGGUAACGGCCUACCAAGGCGAUGAUGCAUAGCCGAGUUGAGAGACUGAUCGGCCACAUUGGGACUGAGACACGGCCCAAACUCCUACGGGAGGCAGCAGUAGGGAAUCUUCCACAAUGGACGCAAGUCUGAUGGAGCAACGCCGCGUGAGUGAAGAAGGGUUUCGGCUCGUAAAGCUCUGUUGUUGGUGAAGAAGGACAGGGGUAGUAACUGACCUUUGUUUGACGGUAAUCAAUUAGAAAGUCACGGCUAACUACGUG